UAAAAGGUGCACUAAACAACAUUAUCAAUACUUAAAAUUAAUAACAAGGAAUAUCAAAGGUAAAUGCUAUUUUCUUAAAAGUAAUUAAAAGAAAAUUGGGAACGAAACAUUCCUUGAAACACUCAAAAUCCAUUCACGAAGAUUCUCUCCUGUUUCCUCAUUCUCCUCAAAUCUCCCUCGCUCUCGACUUCACGCUCUUCUCACCGAAACCCUCUCUCCAUCGCGCCUCUCUCACAAACUCCACCCAAAAUUGUUUUUUCAAACUUUGCUUCUGAAAUAGCUCUCUCAACCGUACCUCUCUCACUCAAUCGAUAUCUCCCACGCAAAGGCGGAAAAGAAAAAAAAGUUUAAAAGGAAAAAUCCAAGGCGAAAACUCACCUUUGGUGGUGAUUCGGCGGUAGCAGCGAGCUUGCAAUGGGCUCCCUUCGUUAGGUUUCAAAGUUCUCCGCCGUUGAUUGCAACCAGGGUUUUGAACUGAUUCCUCAGAUAAAAGGGGCAAACUGCAAAAUCCUUUAGGGCGCUCAGCUUGGAUCGGCCUAUUUGGAUGUUUGGUUUUGGAAAAGUGAAUUCGGAGUGACCAAAAGCAAAUUUCGUUUUUGAUUAUCUCAUGCAGCUCAGAGACACUCCAUAUCAAUUUUUUCUCUUCCAGUCAUAGGAGAACCCAUGGAUUCGAAUUGAUGGAAAAGUUUAAUCAAGCAACGAUGAGA
Lathyrus oleraceus (garden pea) is the source of this 707-nucleotide long non-coding RNA. RefSeq lists it as uncharacterized. The transcript has 3 exons. NCBI's taxonomy places the organism in Eukaryota, Viridiplantae, Streptophyta, Magnoliopsida, Fabales, Fabaceae. The record is from RefSeq and is a predicted model, not a curated record.